UACAGAGGUGGCAAGCGUUGUUCGGAAUUACUGGGCGUAAAGGGCGCGUAGGCGGUCUUUUAAGUCUUGUGUGAAAUCCCUCGGCUUAACUGAGGAACUGCACGGGAUACUGGAAGACUUGAGUUCGGGAGAGGGAAGCGGAAUUCCGGGUGUAGCGGUGAAAUGCGUAGAUAUCCGGAGGAACACCGGUGGCGAAGGCGGCUUCCUGGACCGACACUGACGCUGAGGCGCGAAAGCUAGGGGAGCAAACGGG
Molecule: ribosomal RNA, 253 nt
Filed under: uncultured bacterium
Lineage: Bacteria
Description: partial 16S ribosomal RNA
Rfam family: Bacterial small subunit ribosomal RNA
Source: RNAcentral